RNAcentral lists this unclassified non-coding RNA (268 nucleotides) under Hevea brasiliensis (rubber tree). Lineage: Eukaryota; Viridiplantae; Streptophyta; Magnoliopsida; Malpighiales; Euphorbiaceae. The record is from RNAcentral.
GCUUGCCUUUAUAGAGUAGCAGUCCAUUAUUGCAAGAGUAACCCAGGGUGAGAUUUCUCAUCAAUUGAUAAAAGAGAAAUUAACUCAACAGCAUGAACAUCUCCCUCGUAACUAGCAAUCAGUUGAGACAUCCAAGUAGGUUGAACAACGGACUGAAGUGCAAAAAUUUCCCCUUCUUCAAUAGCAGGUUUACUGGAUAGGGCAUCUUCCACUUUAUUUUCUAGCCCUUUUCUAUAAAGAAUGGUGUAUUGUAGUCCCAGUAGCUUAG